Long non-coding RNA from Ictalurus punctatus (channel catfish), 426 nucleotides. The record is from Ensembl. NCBI's taxonomy places the organism in Eukaryota, Metazoa, Chordata, Actinopteri, Siluriformes, Ictaluridae.
GUCAUUGUGGUAUGCAGUGGAAUGAUGACUCUUUCUCUUUCUUGUAGAGAAGCUCUUGUUUCACUUUAAUGUGUGUAUGUUCUGUGUGUAGAUGAAGAUCCUGUAUAUCCAUUCUCUGCUGUGUGAAUGUUAUCGGUGCCGUCCUGCUGACCCGCUGGCUCUGAAUAACGAUGAUGUUUGCUUCAUUUGUGACUCUGACGGAGACGAUGACGGACAGCUGGUGUGCUGUGACGAGUGUCCACGAGCGUUCCAUCCGAACUGCCACUUACCACCUUUACAAAACAACGCACACGGGGAGAAAUGGACGUGCACUUUCUGUAUUUGGAGGAUUAACCAUCAAAUGUGGACUCACAUGAGUCUGGAAGAUGCUUUGAACAGUUCUGCAAACCAAAACAUCAUGCGCUGUGAGUAUUUGCUGCUGUGUUU